RNAcentral lists this non-coding RNA (148 nucleotides) under Pan paniscus (pygmy chimpanzee). The record is from Rfam by way of RNAcentral. RNAcentral also lists the same sequence under 1 other name. Lineage: Eukaryota; Metazoa; Chordata; Mammalia; Primates; Hominidae.
GCUGGGCAUGGUGGUAUGUGUCUGUAGUCCUGGCAACUUGGGAGGCUGAGGUGGGAGGAUCACUUGAGCCCAGGAGUUUGGGGUUACAGUGAGCUAUGAUCAUGCCACUGCACUCUAGCCUGGGCAACAGAGUGAGACCCUGUCUCUA